GGAGUUGGCCAGACAAUCGCUGCCUUAUACUUGUUAUAAGGGGGAGGAAAGUCCGGGCUCCAUAGGGUAGGGUGCCAGGUAACGCCUGGGCGGGUUAAACCGACGACAAGUGCAGCAGAGAGAAGACCGCCAACCGUUGUUUCGACAGCAGUUGGUAAGGGUGAAAGGGUGCGGUAAGAGCGCACCGUGUGCCUGGUAACAGUGCAUAGCAAGGUAAACUCCACCCGGAGCAAGACCAAAUAGGUCUCCAUAGUUGCGACCCGCAGCGGAGACGGGUAGGUUGCUUGAGCCUGUGAGCGAUUGCAGGCCUAGACGAAUGAUUGUCCACGACAGAACCCGGCUUAUCGGCCAACUCCCACU
This 360-nucleotide RNase P RNA is filed under the name Glaciecola sp. RNAcentral's name for it is "RNase P RNA component class A". It matches the Rfam family "Bacterial RNase P class A". Rfam says of the family: Ribonuclease P (RNase P) is a ubiquitous endoribonuclease, found in archaea, bacteria and eukarya as well as chloroplasts and mitochondria. The record is from RNAcentral. Lineage: Bacteria; Pseudomonadati; Pseudomonadota; Gammaproteobacteria; Alteromonadales; Alteromonadaceae.